AUUGAACGCUGGCGGCAUGCCUUACACAUGCAAGUCGAGCGGUAACAGGUCUUCGGAUGCUGACGAGUGGCGAACGGGUGAGUAAUACAUCGGAACGUGCCUAGUAGUGGGGGAUAACUACUCGAAAGAGUGGCUAAUACCGAAUGAGAUCUACGGAUGAAAGCAGGGGAUCGCAAGACCUUGUGCUACUAGAGCGGCCGAUGGCAGAUUAGGAAGUUGGUGGGAUAAAAGCUUACCAAGCCGACGAUCUGUAGCUGGUCUGAGAGGACGAGCAGCCACACUGGGACUGAGAAACGGCCCAGACUCCUACGGGAGGCAGCAGUGGGGAAUUUUGGACAAUGGGCGCAAGCCUGAUCCAGCAAUGCCGCGUGCAGGAUGAAGGCCUUCGGGUUGUAAACUGCUUUUGUACGGAACGAAAAGCCCUGGGUUAAUACCCUGGGGUCAUGACGGUACCGUAAGAAUAAGCACCGGCUAACUACGUGCCAGCCGCCGCCGUAA
This 498-nucleotide ribosomal RNA is filed under the name uncultured bacterium. Its description in RNAcentral is "partial 16S ribosomal RNA". It matches the Rfam family "Bacterial small subunit ribosomal RNA", at positions 30 to 523 of the family's 1533-position model. The record is from RNAcentral.